CACCAGACUCCUACGGGAGGCAGCAGUGAGGAAUAUUGGUCAAUGGGCUUACGCCUGAACCAGCCAAGUCGCGUGAGGGAAGACUGCCCUAUGGGUUGUAAACCUCUUUUGUCAGGGAGCAAUUAGCGCUACGUGUAGCGUUAUCGAGAGUACCUGAAGAAAAAGCAUCGGCUAACUCCGUGCCAGCAGCCGCGGUAAUACGGAGGAUGCGAGCGUUAUCCGGAUUUAUUGGGUUUAAAGGGUGCGUAGGCGGAUUUUUAAGUCAGCGGUAAAAUGUCCGGGCUCAACCCGGGCCGGCCGUUGAAACUGGCUGUCUUGAGAUGUCGAGAGGUAUGCGGAAUGCGCAGUGUAGCGGUGAAAUGCUUAGAUAUUGCGCAGAACUCCGAUUGCGAAGGCAGCAUACCGGCGGCGAUCUGACGCUGAGGCACGAAAGCGUGGGUAUCGAACAGGAUUAGAUACCCGGGUA
This 466-nucleotide ribosomal RNA is filed under the name uncultured bacterium. RNAcentral's name for it is "bacterial SSU rRNA". It matches the Rfam family "Bacterial small subunit ribosomal RNA", at positions 329 to 792 of the family's 1533-position model. The record is from RNAcentral.